Acinonyx jubatus (cheetah) is the source of this 1621-nucleotide long non-coding RNA. RefSeq lists it as uncharacterized. The transcript has 4 exons. Lineage: Eukaryota; Metazoa; Chordata; Mammalia; Carnivora; Felidae. The record is from RefSeq and is a predicted model, not a curated record.
AGGCCACCGCCUGCGCGGUCCCCGCGGCCCGCAGGCCUGGCGCCCUCCCCCUGUGCCCCGCUGUGCGUGUCUUUUCCUGUUCCCGGUGGUCCUUUCCUGCCUCUUGCCCUCCCCGCUCUGCCUUCCCGCCCACUCCGCGCUGCGCCCGGCAGCCCAGCUCCCUUCACCCCACUCCUGCCCUCUCUCCUCCUCCGCUCCUCGCUCCUCUGGGUUCGGCCAAGUCCAGAGCUCUCCGAAGCCUCAGGCUGCCCCGGGACCAGCCCUGCUUUCCCCUCCUGCCUCCCCGCUGGCCCGUGAGUUGGGUUUGCGCGGGUGUGUGCAGGCUGUCCUGGGGCCAAAGCCCAGUUUUGUCUCUUGACCCCUGGUAGAUAAGUAUCUCGGGGACAAGUAUCUCGAAUCAUCCUUCGGGUCUCAGGGGAAGGUUCUAGGAGUGAAAGCAGACAAGAACAGUUCUGGGGAGACCCUUUUAUGCAAAAUACUUUCUCCCACUCCUCAGGAAGGGAGCCGAGGUCCCUUCCUCCCCCCCUCCCCCCCUCCACCGAAUCUCUCAAGACACAGGACAGUUUGUGGCAGGACAGAUGCCUCGCAGCACGAGUGCUUCACCAGGCAUCAGGCGUUGCCAUGCUUUGGUUUCUUUGGUGUAAAUAUACCGGAGUUCAAACGUUCACUUCAGAAUACUUAAGGCCAGUGGGAAAUUCACACUCCAGAGGUACAAAAUGCCUGUCAAGGGGACUCUUCCUCUGCUGAGAAAGAUCUUCUCACUAUUCAAGUGUCACCUUCAUCACCAAAGGGAACCUCACCCAUGGAAUCGAACUUGGCUGUGAGUCCUAGGAGAACAGAGGUAAUGUGUCUGUCUUGUUCACUGUGGAAUCCCUGGGGCCCUGGACAGGGCCUCCCAUGUGACAGAGACAGAGAGAGACAGAGCAUGAAUGGGGAAAGGUCAGAGAGAGAGGGAGACACAGAAUCUGAAACAGGCUCCAGGCUCUGAGCUGUCAGCACAGAGCCCGAUGCGGGGCUCGAACUCAUGGACCGCGAGAUCACGACCUGAGCCGAAGUCGGUCGACCAACCGACUGAGCCACCCAGGUGCCCCGGGUCUGACUCUUGAUUUCAGCUCCUGUCAUGAUCCUAGGGUCAUGGGAUAAAGCCCUCUGUCAGGCUCUGCACUCUGCUUGGAGCCUGCUUGAGAUUCUCUCUUUCUCCCUCUGCCCCUCUCCUCCUGCUCCUACUCUGUCUUUAUAAAGUUAAAAAAAAAUUUUUUUUAAAGCAUUUGUUAAGUCAAUGAGUAAAUGAAUUCAGGAUGAGAAGGAUAGUACAUAGUCACAGACUGCCUAUUUUAUUUGUAUUUUUUUUAAUGUUUAUUUUUGAGAGAGAGAGAGACAGACAGAGUUCAAGCAGGGGAGGGGCAGAGAAAGAGGCAGACACAGAAUGGAAGCAGGCUCCAUGCUCCGAGCUGUCAGCACAGAGCCUGACUCGGGGCUAGAACUCGCAGGCUGCAAGAUCAUUACCUGAGCUGAAAUUGGGCUCUCCACCGACGGAGCCAGGCAACCCCCCCCCCCCCCCCCCACCGACUACGUAUUUUAAGCAAAUAAUAAUAAAAACAUGCUUAUCAGUGAAACCAGA